Transfer RNA from Loxodonta africana (African savanna elephant), 72 nucleotides. It matches the Rfam family "tRNA". Rfam says of the family: Transfer RNA (tRNA) molecules are approximately 80 nucleotides in length. Their secondary structure includes four short double-helical elements and three loops (D, anti-codon, and T loops). Further hydrogen bonds mediate the characteristic L-shaped molecular structure. tRNAs have two regions of fundamental functional importance: the anti-codon, which is responsible for specific mRNA codon recognition, and the 3' end, to which the tRNAs corresponding amino acid is attached (by aminoacyl-tRNA synthetases). tRNAs cope with the degeneracy of the genetic code in two manners: having more than one tRNA (with a specific anti-codon) for a particular amino acid; and 'wobble' base-pairing, i.e. permitting non-standard base-pairing at the 3rd anti-codon position. NCBI's taxonomy places the organism in Eukaryota, Metazoa, Chordata, Mammalia, Proboscidea, Elephantidae. The record is from Rfam.
GCUCUGGUAGUGCAACAGUUAAGCACUCAGCUGCUAACUGAAAGGUUGGUGGUUCAUACCCACCCAGCGGCU